GGAGAGGUGCCUGAGUGGCCGAAAGGAACGGUUUGCUAAAUCGUCGUACACCAAAAGUGUACCCAGGGUUCGAAUCCCUGUCUCUCCG
RNAcentral lists this transfer RNA (88 nucleotides) under Pricia antarctica. It matches the Rfam family "tRNA". Rfam says of the family: Transfer RNA (tRNA) molecules are approximately 80 nucleotides in length. Their secondary structure includes four short double-helical elements and three loops (D, anti-codon, and T loops). RNAcentral also lists the same sequence under 3 other names. The record is from RNAcentral. Lineage: Bacteria; Pseudomonadati; Bacteroidota; Flavobacteriia; Flavobacteriales; Flavobacteriaceae.